UUGGUCCUACGGGGCGCAGCAGUGGGGAAUAUUGGGCAAUGGGCGCAAGCCUGACCCAGCAACGCCGCGUGAAGGAAGAAGGCUUUCGGGUUGUAAACUUCUUUUCUCAGGGACGAAGCAAGUGACGGUACCUGAGGAAUAAGCCACGGCUAACUACGUGCCAGCAGCCGCGGUAAUACGUAGGUGGCAAGCGUUAUCCGGAUUUACUGGGUGUAAAGGGCGUGUAGGCGGGAAAGCAAGUAAGAUGUGAAAACCAUGGGCUCAACCUGGGGCCUGCAUUUGAAACUGUUUUCCUUGGGUACUGG
Molecule: ribosomal RNA, 305 nt
Filed under: uncultured bacterium
Lineage: Bacteria
Description: bacterial SSU rRNA
Rfam family: Bacterial small subunit ribosomal RNA
Source: RNAcentral